RNAcentral lists this long non-coding RNA (444 nucleotides) under Mus musculus (house mouse). RNAcentral's name for it is "RIKEN cDNA F730016J06 gene". Lineage: Eukaryota; Metazoa; Chordata; Mammalia; Rodentia; Muridae. The record is from RNAcentral.
AGCCUCUGGACCUGUGUCUGCCCAGACUUACCUCAGUGAUGGAGUGUGACCUGAGAGUUCUAAGCUGAGGGGAAACUGAGGCUGAGAGAUGUCUGCUGCAAACACGUCUCCACCCACUAUGACCUGAGUGUGCCCCCGGGGCUCACUCUCCCCUGGCCUGCAGUGAUUUUUCUCUGGGUGUGCUGGAGAGUGGAGAUGGGAAAAGCUACAGUCUCUGAACCCAACUGAAACAGGCUGCCCUGCACUCUGGACAGACCGAUCCCUGGCAGUGGCAGGUGGUCCUGGAUGCUAUAAGAAAGCAAGUUGAGAAAGCCAUGAGGAGCAAGCCAGUAAGCAGCACCCCUUCCUGGUCUCUGCUUCAGUUCCUGUCCCUAGGUUGCUGACUCAAUUUUCCCUGAUGAUGGACUAUCCUUGUGAGCCAAAUAAAUGUUUUUUCUCUCUGGA